AUUUAAAAUAACGUUUAAACUAAUAAUUUAUAUUCACUGCAUUCUGUACUUCCCUCAUUGAAACAUAAGAACAGAUAACGAAACGUGAACUAGUUCUUUAGUUCUCUUUACAGAUUAUGGAAUGUGUUACAUGUAUAUUAUUGGCUUUUUUUAAGUUUUUAGUAUCAUAAUUAAUAUAUUAAAAAAGGGUCUGGCUUUUAACAAGCGAACGAGCUAUUUACAUAUUUCAUAAAAUUGGAGAAGACUUUCACUUAACCGGAGGUCAAGUUAAAUAAAGUGCCGCUCAAAGCCGCAAAACAAAUUACCACACGUUCACCCCCAACUCCACUUUCUCUGAUACUCAACACCCAACCAUAUAAUCCUCAUAAAUAUGAAACAAUCAAAUAAAAAAGGAAUAAAGAACAAAUGCUGCAGGGGUUGCGGGGAACAUGCGACAACCCUACUCGGUCGAACUUUUACGGGCGACCUGGUGCCCAACAAACAAAAGGGAAAAAGGAAACUGCUGCCGCUAAAGGGGUAAAAAGUUGCAUUUAUGCUAUAAAAAGAAACCGUACUUUUGGGUUGAAUAAUGGCUAGCAUUUUGUUUUGCAAUUAGCAGGCGUGGAAUGGGUGAAUAUUUUCCAUGACCAGAUUGCCAUCAAUUGUACGGAAAAAUCUGUUCUUCGAAAUUUGGUCGUUUCCACGUGGGUUCGCAUAUGAUACUGUUGUAUAACAUAAAAAACGCAAUAAUGAUAAGUCUUUAAAACUACUGGUCGAUAAUUAAAACGGAAGCUUUGAAAGUCCAGAGAGGAUUAAAUCGAUCUGUGUGCCAUCUCUAAAGUUUCUUCUUCCACAACUCGCUUGGAAUCUUCCGUUUCGCUUUUGAUUUUUGUCAAAUCCUAUCUUUCUAUUAAAUAAAAUUAAAAUCUCAAUUAGUCCUGAAAAGAACUCUGUUCCUCUGCGGUACUGGUUAUCUAGUGCAAUUCUAAAACACUGAGCCAAUUUCGGAUAAAAUAU
This is a long non-coding RNA of Drosophila ficusphila, 996 nucleotides long. RefSeq lists it as uncharacterized. The record is from RefSeq and is a predicted model, not a curated record. Lineage: Eukaryota; Metazoa; Arthropoda; Insecta; Diptera; Drosophilidae. The transcript is spliced from 3 exons.